This 195-nucleotide non-coding RNA is filed under the name Clostridiales bacterium. RNAcentral's name for it is "6S RNA". It matches the Rfam family "6S / SsrS RNA". Rfam says of the family: E. coli 6S RNA was the first non coding RNA to be sequenced, but its function was unknown until recently. It consists of 184 nucleotides that fold into an extended hairpin structure with a large single-stranded internal bulge. The record is from RNAcentral. Lineage: Bacteria; Bacillati; Bacillota; Clostridia; Eubacteriales.
AUCACCCUGCUAUGUUCGUAAUGUUGUUGGCCAUUUUUGAACCAACACAUCUUUAUCGGGAUCCGAUUCUCGCUUGAGGGAUUUGAGACCUUCUUCCAGCUUCGGCGUUAAUUAGGGACGAGGAAAUCAAGCGGAGGAGCCCACCUGCUUAGGCAGGUUCAAACUUAGCCGGCAUUACGGCGGUGCGGGGAUAAA